GCGAGGGCUGGCGGCGGAGCAGCGUGUUUGCGCAGUGUUGGGCUUCCUUUCUACAAACACGCCACACACUGUGAGGGGGUGGCUGGCGGCCACCUGGGCUAGUAGAUGGUGAGAAUGAGAUAAAGCAUGUGGUUCCUGACUGACAGCAAGGAGGGACACAGAAAUAGCGAGGACAUGUCCAGCAUCUCUGCCAGCUAGCACCAGGCCAAGACCUCCACAAGGUCUUAGAUCUCUGGGACUGUAAAGUCACCAUCCUGAGCCCUCAAGCUAUGGCGGUCAUUCUGAAGCCUACAGAGUCUACUGUGGCAGGUGGGAGCAAAGCUACCUGCAGAAAGCCCUGAGUGGCUCCAGAGGGCAGAGCCUCCAACCUCAGUCCUGGAACACCAAACAGAAACCUCCAGCUAAGCUACCCGCAGCCACAAGUUGAUACAGAAUUCACUGCUGCAGGAAGAACUGGAGGCCAGGAGGCACCCAGGUGAGGUUGUGGUUCCGGGAUUCA
This 499-nucleotide long non-coding RNA is filed under the name Mus spicilegus (steppe mouse). Its description in RNAcentral is "lncRNA (ENSMSIG00000006336.1)". The record is from RNAcentral. Lineage: Eukaryota; Metazoa; Chordata; Mammalia; Rodentia; Muridae.